ACGAAAAAACCACCACAAAUACCAUUUUGGUAUGCGAUCGAUCGAUCGCUUAACUGUUUUAUGUUUGAAAUGUUUAUGUGUUGUGUUUUGCUUGUUGGUUGGAACAGAAUCUGUUAUUUUAUAUUUUACUAAACUUGUCUUCAGAAAGUGGAGUUUCAGGUGUAUGAAUUAGCAAGGAACGCGCUACUAGUGAGUAAAGAAAAAAUCGAUUUAAGUGAUCUUUUGCUACUUUGAACUUCCAAGCAUCGGAAAUUCAAGUUUAUUUUCGAAAUGCAUGGUGGUUAUGUUCACGGUAGAAAAUAUCAUGUUGUAAGAGUAAUUUUCCAUUGUCCGGGCACACCAGAUUGGUUGCUGUCAAUGUGGUGGUGGACGGUUUUUAGUGACUAUACUUCGUGUAUGGUACAUAUCUAGGUGCCGUAUAUCCCACAUUUAGGACAAAUAAUUACAAUGGAUUUCGUGUAGCCACAAAUAUGGCAAAAGUGCAUCAUUUCCAUUGUGCGAAUAGAAACAAUCCCUUAACACAGCUUUCGUAUGAACUUGCGGUGCCUAUUUGGCGUUUAACAGACGAAUGCGCUAUAUGGCGCAUGCCCAGAUUUACCGAUUCACCAGAAGCGUAUGGCGAAAAUAUUCGUUACCCGACGUUUCGGAACUCUCACGAAAUUGGUGCAUUACGAAAUUGGCAUUAUAGAACAGACUGUAAUAACAAUGCUGCCGGCGUGAAUUAUAGUACACUGUUCGUGGAAAAUAACUGGUCAGUACAGGAAUACAAUAUGGUAGAAAACACUGACUCAGAGCAUGAAAAGCUUACGGCAAUCGAUGUCUUUAUCACCGUCGGAAUAAUUAACAGAGUGUUCUGUAAGAUGGAGCAUGACAUGAAAGAGUUACAGGAGUCAUUUACAACGAUCGUCGAGACUAUGGGAGAGAACAACAAUAAGAGAAUUAAUAUUUCUGAAUGCGAUGAUUAGUAGAA
Molecule: long non-coding RNA, 970 nt
Organism: Anopheles arabiensis
Lineage: Eukaryota; Metazoa; Arthropoda; Insecta; Diptera; Culicidae
Exons: 2
Source: RefSeq, a predicted model, not a curated record